UACGUAGGGUCCGAGCGUUGUCCGGAAUUAUUGGGCGUAAAGGGCUCGUAGGCGGUCUGUUGCGUCGGGAGUGAAAACUUACAGCUUAACUGUGAGCGUGCUUUCGAUACGGGCAGACUUGAGGCAUUCAGGGGAGAACGGAAUUCCUGGUGUAGCGGUGAAAUGCGCAGAUAUCAGGAGGAACACCGGUGGCGAAGGCGGAUCUCUGGGCCAUUACUGACGCUGAGGAGCGAAAGCGUGGGGAGCGAACAGG
RNAcentral lists this ribosomal RNA (253 nucleotides) under uncultured bacterium. RNAcentral describes it as "partial 16S ribosomal RNA". It matches the Rfam family "Bacterial small subunit ribosomal RNA", at positions 524 to 776 of the family's 1533-position model. The record is from RNAcentral.